RNAcentral lists this long non-coding RNA (461 nucleotides) under Anas platyrhynchos platyrhynchos (common mallard). RNAcentral describes it as "lncRNA (ENSAPLG00000030643.1)". The record is from RNAcentral. Lineage: Eukaryota; Metazoa; Chordata; Aves; Anseriformes; Anatidae.
UUUUGGUCCUGUAAUAACUAUCAGUGAAGCGACUUCUUAGAUAAAUGAAAUGCAUUGUUAAUAUUUUAUUGUUAGCAAAGUUCUAGGCAAAAGAAUGGUAAAUGUACGUCCUUCAGUUGUCCCUCAGUUUGUAAAUAUAUCAGUUGGUAAAUAUUAAUCAGGUUCUGGCAAAAGCUAGAGGGUUCUUUCAAGUACAUAUAGCAAAGAAAACUGCUUCAACAUCAACAAUUGCUAAUCCAACAGCACACAUACAUGAAAGCUUAUAGAUUUUCAUUCCUCGGACUCUUUCCUGAAUUUAAGACUAACUGGUGAAAGAAGAAUAAGCAAAACAGUGAAAGUAACGGCUGAGGUGAGAAUUUUCUUGAAGGAAGUCAAACAUCUCCUGUUAUUUUGGGCAUGGACAUGGUGAUGAACAAAUAUCAUGGACAAGACAAGAUGAAAGUCAUACAGCAAGACUGAAG